UAAAAAGAUGUGUUUCUAGUAAUAUGAUGGAUACCUUACUUUCGUGUAUUUGUCUAGUUCAUGCAAUGAGCUUUCCCGAGAACUGUCUUAUAUAUAUUUGGGGAGAGGAGCAAAAGGGGCCGAAGAGAAAGUAAUAUUGUCAGAUUUUCAACUGCAAAUUGCCAGCUAUGCACAAUUUUCAGCUUAAGCGAAUGAAGGCGAAGUCGUCAGGGAUCUUGCAGGAUCCGAGCAAGAGGAAUUAAAAAUCACAAGUAAUCUUGCGUUACGUGGAACUAGAACCAGAGUUUCUGAGAUAGUUUCAUGCCAUCAAACUGGUCAUCUCUGCACAGGAAUGAGGAGCCGGCAGGGAGGUGAUAGAAAAGUGCGCUUGGAAAGAGGAGUGAGUAGGGACGUGCGUGACACCUUUCUUCUCACCAGGCCAUGUUCCUGGCACCAAAAAUCGUUUUUGUGACGGUCAGUGUCAUCAUUCUUCUGUCCCCACAGGUUCAACUGGGUCUCUCACCCCCAUGUAUGUGGAGGGUCUUUUAUAUUAUUUGACAGCUACCUGGUCAUUUGGCACAUAGGUGCUUAGUGAUAUUGAAUGUCUCCUGGCUAGGACACAGCUAUUACCCACUUGGAUGCGAAGAGGAAACAGCAAGCUGUGAAAUGGCGGGGAGGGAUACUCGCGGAACCGAGAGCCAGAAGAUCCGUCACUUUCUACCUGAAGGCCUUGGGCGUAAAGCAGCAGUAAGAGAAGCAAGGUUCCAUUCACCUGCCAGAGUGGAUCCAUCACACAGACACUAAGACCUUGAGGUUGCCAACGCUCCUGUGACAGAGUUUGGAAUUGACCAAAACCAGUUGAGAGCAGCUGCAUCAAAUGAAUUAAAUGCGAACUGGUUUCCCAUUCACAUUAUUACAAGAAAUUUCUUUCUGCCACACACACGUACAGAGGGAGCGUGAUAUGAAGAAGUCAAGAUGGGGCUGGGUGGUGGAGGGAAGAGACAGCAACGAAGCAACACUCAAAAUUUUUUUUUUCUUUCUUCCUUU
Molecule: long non-coding RNA, 1026 nt
Organism: Aethalodelphis obliquidens (Pacific white-sided dolphin)
Lineage: Eukaryota; Metazoa; Chordata; Mammalia; Artiodactyla; Delphinidae
Exons: 3
Source: RefSeq, a predicted model, not a curated record